CCUUUUUCUGAAAUGUUCAAAAUAACAUUUGAUGUACUGAUAAUUUAUGUAUGGUUUCUGCUGCAAUGCAUUAUUUGCUACCACAUUAGAAAUAUAGUGGGUAUUGUUUUUGACAGGGUAAUUUCUUGUCUCAAGAACUGAGGCUGGAAUCAUGGAAUUAUUCUUCCGCUCUUUUUCGCAUGAAGCAGCAGGACUGAACAGGCAUCAUUCACAAUGAAGAGGAGCUUCAGUCUUGUGCGGAGAUUGCGUACAAGCUUAGGUUUCAUUGUCACUGAUCCUUCACAUAAAGGACUCAAGGUGCAGCACUUCUGAAGGGGGUGGGGAUUAUUCUCCAUUCACUGUGCCUAGAUUGCAAAUGUUCAGUAAGAAGCUUAGGUUUCACUAGCAUGAUCCGUCGCUGUAAGGUAAUGAAUGAUUGUCUGUUGAUAUUCGCGAGUUCCCUUUUCACCUUAUUCCCUUCAGUGUGCUUGGUUUGAUGCUGCAUGGUUGUCCAGGUUAGUGGAAAAUCGACACUUGACACCAGUUUACAAAGUAGCGGGAUGUGUUCCUUGAGAGCUUUGUAGAGCGACGGUGAUGCAGUAUAUAUGCAGCGCCGAGUUGAGAGGCAUACAUUUUCUUUCUGCAUUCAAACAUGCAUCUAAAUGGUGCUGAGGCGCGAGGUUAUUGUGAUUUUACCUCUGGGAGAAAAGGCAGGUGUGGCACAGUAGGCAUGCUUUGCUUGUUUUUUAUUUAUUUCACAUGUGUAAAUUAGUGGAAUUAUGUUUCUUCAUAGAGUAAAUUCAUUUCGUAUGGGAACAUGUAGAAACUUGAUGGGCGAUGAACUGCUCAGUGAAGAGGUGGUAUUUUAUUGUUAUCCUUAUAAUCUUUUAUUUUCUCGAAUCAAGUGCCUUUGAAUCCUUUGACAUGAUGUUUCUUUGUAAGUCUGGUACUUCAAGAACGUGGUAUAUCAUAUUUCAUACAUGUAGCUGAGAAGCUAUCUUUGCUAGCACAAUCCCUGAAUGUGAAAUUCAUUCAUGUUUCAGGUACACAUUUGCCUUUUGUUUCCUGUCUUUGUUCAGAUUGCUUGGUCUUACACAUCAUUUCACUUGACUCGGAAUCUUAAUGUUAUGGCAUGUUUAAUCUUACAUGUCUGAGCUGGUUUUAACUGCUCACUAGAAAAACAUGAUGAUUUUCUAAGAGGCUGAAGUCAAUUAA
This is a long non-coding RNA of Lolium rigidum, 1194 nucleotides long. RefSeq lists it as uncharacterized. The record is from RefSeq and is a predicted model, not a curated record. The transcript has 3 exons. NCBI's taxonomy places the organism in Eukaryota, Viridiplantae, Streptophyta, Magnoliopsida, Poales, Poaceae.